RNAcentral lists this ribosomal RNA (468 nucleotides) under uncultured bacterium. Its description in RNAcentral is "partial 16S ribosomal RNA". It matches the Rfam family "Bacterial small subunit ribosomal RNA", at positions 28 to 507 of the family's 1533-position model. The record is from RNAcentral.
GACGAACGCUGGCGGCGUGCUUAACACAUGCAAGUCGAACGGAAGGGCCCUGCUUUUGUGGGGUGCUCGAGUGGCGAACGGGUGAGUAACACGUGAGUAACCUGCCCUUGACUUUGGGAUAACUUCAGGGAACUGGGGCUAAUACCGGAUAGGAGCUCCUGCUGCAUGGUGGGGGUUGGAAAGUUUCGGCGGUUGUGGAUGGACUCGCGGCUUAUCAGCUUGUUGGUGGGGUAGUGGCGUACCAAGGUUUUGACGGGUAGCCGGCCUGAGAGGGUGACCGGCCACAGUGGGACUGAGAUACGGCCCAGACGCCUACGGGAGGCAGCAGUGGGGAAUAUUGCACAAUGGGCGGAAGCCUGAUGCAGCAACGCCGCGUGCGGGAUGACGGCCUUCGGGUUGUAAACCGCUUUCGCCUGUGACGAAGCGUGAGUGACGGUAAUGGGUAAAGAAGCACCGGCUAACUACGUG